AUUGAACGCUGGCGGCAGGCCUAACACAUGCAAGUCGAACGAGUGGCGGACGUGUGCGUAGUGUCUGGGACACUGCCUGCUGGAGGGGGAUAACUACUGGAAACGGUAGCUAAUACCGCAUCCUCGCAGAUGUGCCCAUGGGGGAUUAGCUAGUUGGGGGGGUAAGGGCUCACCAAGGCGACGAUCCCUAGCUGGUCUGAGCGGAUGACCAGCCACACUGGAACUGAGACACGGUCCAGACUCCGACGGGAGGCAGCAGUGGGGAAUAUGGCACAAUGGGCGCAAGCCUGAUGAAGCCAUGCCGCGUGUAUGAAGAAGGCCUUCGGGUUGUAAAGUACUUUCAGCGGGGAGGCGUUACCCGCAGAAGAAGCACCGGCUAACUCCGUGCCAGCAGCCGCGGUAAUAC
RNAcentral lists this ribosomal RNA (406 nucleotides) under uncultured bacterium. RNAcentral's name for it is "partial 16S ribosomal RNA". It matches the Rfam family "Bacterial small subunit ribosomal RNA", at positions 30 to 526 of the family's 1533-position model. The record is from RNAcentral.